RNAcentral lists this ribosomal RNA (430 nucleotides) under Verrucomicrobiota bacterium. RNAcentral describes it as "Verrucomicrobia bacterium partial 16S ribosomal RNA". It matches the Rfam family "Bacterial small subunit ribosomal RNA", at positions 355 to 776 of the family's 1533-position model. The record is from RNAcentral. Lineage: Bacteria; Pseudomonadati; Verrucomicrobiota.
UAGGGAAUCUUCGGCAAUGGGGGGAACCCUGACCGAGCAACGCCGCUUGAGUGAAGAAGGUUUUCGGAUCGUAAAGCUCUGUUGUUAAGGAAGAACGAGUGUGAGAAUGGAAAGUUCAUGCUGUGACGGUACUUAACCAGAAAGCCACGGCUAACUACGUGCCAGCAGCCGCGGUAAUACGUAGGUGGCAAGCGUUGUCCGGAAUUAUUGGGCGUAAAGCGCGCGCAGGUGGUUUAGAAAGUCUGAUGUGAAAGCCCACGGCUCAACCGUGGAGGGUCAUUGGAAACUAAUAAACUUGAGUGCAGGAGAGAAAAGUGGAAUUCCUAGUGUAGCGGUGAAAUGCGUAGAGAUUAGGAGGAACACCGGUGGCGAAAGCGGCUUUUUGGCCUGCAACUGACACUGAGGCGCGAAAGCGUGGGGAGCAAACAGG